RNAcentral lists this ribosomal RNA (808 nucleotides) under uncultured bacterium. Its description in RNAcentral is "bacterial SSU rRNA". It matches the Rfam family "Bacterial small subunit ribosomal RNA", at positions 43 to 900 of the family's 1533-position model. The record is from RNAcentral.
CAGGCCUAACACAUGCAAGUCGAACGAAGCCUUCGGGCUUAGUGGCGGACGGGUUAGUAACGCGUGGGAAUGUACCCUUCACUACGGAAUAGUCCCGGGAAACUGGGUUUAAUACCGUAUACGCCCUUCGGGGGAAAGAAUUUCGGUGAAGGAUCAGCCCGCGUUAGAUUAGGUAGUUGGUGGGGUAAUGGCCUACCAAGCCUACGAUCUAUAGCUGGUUUGAGAGGAUGAUCAGCAACACUGGGACUGAGACACGGCCCAGACUCCUACGGGAGGCAGCAGUGGGGAAUCUUAGACAAUGGGGGAAACCCUGAUCUAGCCAUGCCGCGUGAGUGACGAAGGUCUUAGGAUCGUAAAGCUCUUUCAACUGUGAAGAUAAUGACGGUAGCAGUAGAAGAAACCCCGGCUAACUCCGUGCCAGCAGCCGCGGUAAUACGGAGGGGGUUAGCGUUGUUCGGAAUUACUGGGCGUAAAGCGCACGUAGGCGGAUUGGAAAGUUGGGGGUGAAAUCCCGGGGCUCAACCUCGGAACUGCCUCCAAAACUAUCAGUCUAGAGUUCGAGAGAGGUGAGUGGAAAUCCGAGUGUAGAGGUGAAAUUCGUAGAUAUUCGGAAGAACACCAGUGGCGAAGGCGGCUCACUGGCUCGAUACUGACGCUGAGGUGCGAAAGUGUGGGUAGCAAACAGGAUUAGAUACCCUGGUAGUCCACACCGUAAACGAUGAAUGCCAGUCGUCAGGGGGCUUGCCCCUUGGUGACACACCUAACGGAGUAAGCAUUCCGCCUGGGGAGUCGGCCGCAAGGUUAAAAC